This is a long non-coding RNA of Octopus sinensis (East Asian common octopus), 148 nucleotides long. RefSeq lists it as uncharacterized. Lineage: Eukaryota; Metazoa; Mollusca; Cephalopoda; Octopoda; Octopodidae. The transcript is spliced from 3 exons. The record is from RefSeq and is a predicted model, not a curated record.
UCUUCCGAACUCAAAACUCCGGAAGAAAACCAGAACUUUCAGAUAAGGACCAUUGGACUCUUACGCGAAUUGUUAGAAAAGAUUACAAAAGUAAAGCUCCCAAAAUUACUGCAGAGCUUAAUGACCACCUCGAGAACCCAGUUUCAAC